Molecule: ribosomal RNA, 450 nt
Filed under: uncultured Methanolinea sp.
Lineage: Archaea; Methanobacteriati; Methanobacteriota; Methanomicrobia; Methanomicrobiales; Methanoregulaceae
Description: bacterial SSU rRNA
Rfam family: Archaeal small subunit ribosomal RNA
Source: RNAcentral
UGGAGCCUGCGGUUUAAUUGGACUCAACGCCGGGCAGCUCACCGGAUAAGACAGCUGGAUGAUAGCCGGGCUGAAGACUCUGCUUGACUAGCUGAGAGGAGGUGCAUGGCCGUCGUCAGUUCGCACUGUGAAGCAUCCUGUUAAGUCAGGCAACGAGCGAGACCCACGCCAACAGUUGCCAGCAUGUCCUCCGGGAUGAUGGGGACACUGUUGGGACCGCCUCUGCUAAAGAGGAGGAAGGAAUGGGCAACGGUAGGUCAGCAUGCCCCGAAUUAUCCGGGCUACACGCGGGCUACAAUGGUCAGGACAAUGGGUAUCGACACCGAGAGGUGGAGGCAAUCUCCUAAACCUGUCCUUAGUUCGGAUUGUGGGCUGCAACUCGCCCACAUGAAGCUGGAAUCCGUAGUAAUCGCGUUUCAAAAUAGCGCGGUGAAUAUGUCCCUGCUCCUU